UGCUACGUGGGUGGCAGGAGGGUGGGUAGAACGGGGGGUUGGGGCGUUGUCCGGAAGCACUGAGCGUAAAGGGCUGGGAGGUGGCGUGACAAUUCAACGGUGAAAGCCCGGGGGUCAACCCCGGGUCGGCCGUCGAGACUGUUGGGCGCGAGCACUGUAGAGGCAGAUGGAAUUCCGGGUGUAGCGGUGGAAUGCGUAGAGAUCCGGAAGAACACCGGUGGCGAAGGCGGUCUGCUGGGCAGUAGCUGACACUGAUGCGCGACAGCGUGGGGAGCAAACAGGAUUAGAUACCCCGGUAGUC
This 301-nucleotide ribosomal RNA is filed under the name uncultured Paraprevotella sp. Its description in RNAcentral is "bacterial SSU rRNA". The stretch from base 53 to 301 matches the Rfam family "Bacterial small subunit ribosomal RNA", at positions 547 to 795 of the family's 1533-position model. The record is from RNAcentral. Lineage: Bacteria; Pseudomonadati; Bacteroidota; Bacteroidia; Bacteroidales; Prevotellaceae.